RNAcentral lists this ribosomal RNA (253 nucleotides) under uncultured bacterium. RNAcentral describes it as "partial 16S ribosomal RNA". It matches the Rfam family "Bacterial small subunit ribosomal RNA", at positions 524 to 776 of the family's 1533-position model. The record is from RNAcentral.
UACGCAGGUGGCAAGCGUUACUCGGAAUCACUAGGCGUAAAGCGCAGGUAGGCGGUUCGGUAAGUCUCUUGUGAAAGCUCCCGGCUCAACUGGGAGAGGUCAAGGGAAACUACCGGGCUAGAGUGUGGCAGAGGAAGCUGGAAUUCCCGGUGUAGCGGUGAAAUGCGUAGAGAUCGGGAGGAAUACCUAUGGCGAAAGCAGGCUUCUGGGCCGUCACUGACGCUGAUCUGCGAAAGCUAGGGGAGCAAACAGG